UACCAGCGCCCCGAGUGGUCGGGACGUUUAUUGGGCCUAAAGCAUCCGUAGCCGGUUUUACAAGUCCUCCGUUAAAUCCAGCUGCUUAACAGAUGGGCUGCGGAGGAUACUAUAAGACUAGGAGGCAGGAGAGGCAAGCGGUACUCAGUGGGUAGGGGUAAAAUCCGUUGAUCCAUUGAAGACCACCAGUGGCGAAGGCGGCUUGCCAGAAUGCGCUCGACGGUGAGGGAUGAAAGCUGGGGGAGCAAACCGG
RNAcentral lists this ribosomal RNA (253 nucleotides) under uncultured bacterium. RNAcentral's name for it is "partial 16S ribosomal RNA". It matches the Rfam family "Archaeal small subunit ribosomal RNA", at positions 474 to 727 of the family's 1478-position model. The record is from RNAcentral.